UAGACCAGUUAUCAAGUAUGUUGUACAUUGCCAACACUAUUCUCCGUAAAAUCGUAUCGUUGAAGAAAAGUGUUGGCAAUUAUGAUUUAAUGACUCCUAUUUCCUGAAUUACAGAAUAUUUCGUUUGCCCUUUAUAUGUUGUACGCAUGCAUGCAGGUUUUAUCACACAUGUUGCACAGCGGUAGGUAACUUCUUACGCAGUGUUAACAGUUCAACCUAUAUGGAGUAUAGUCAAAGACAAAGUAAUUUAAGGAAUGAGAAAGGACAAACAAUUAGAACUACAAAUGCAAAAUACCAUAUAAAUAUACCAACCAUACACAACCAUAGCUAAAGGCAAAGUUCGACGGCGAAAUAUGCAACUCAACAAGUUGGUGAGGAGGAAAUAUCCUACAGCUAUUACGAAAGGGCAUUGUUGAUCCUAUAAACCACCAGAAAACUUCAUUCGAGUUUUACAUUAUUUUAUGAUAUAUGAUCCUUCUGACGUCUCCAUCAUGCGAGAUUCCUCUCCGAUCCAUAAGUUCAUCGCGAGUUCUGAAAAGGUUGUGAAUGAAAAGGAUCAAGAAAGAACACUGAACAAGAAAGUUACAAACAUGACCGAAACGUUUUCUCCUGUGUGGACGAGGGCGAUAAACCUAAGUAAUGAACUAUUCAGAUACGUACACUCCCUGUGGUGUAUUACCAGUGGAAUGCUGAAAUUGGAAUAUUUCAUGAUUGCUAUGGAGCUCAGUCGAGUUAUCAAGUUGUUAGCUAAACUGCAGUUGUCAAUCAAAAUAGCAAAAUGGACACUUUUCUAUAACCUCUGAAAAAGGGAUUGUAGGAUUAUUAAACACGUGCAUGUUUUAGUAUACGUGCUUAUACACUAUAUUAUAAUUAAAUAUUAAUUAAAAUAUAUAUAUUUCGUAUGUUUAUUUGCAGUUUUGACUUCUCGUCUUAGGAUGAAGUGUAAUAAGACAUCAGUAGUUAUAUAUAAGUUAAUAUUUUUUCCCUCUCUAUAUAUUGAGAUAUCCGAGUUAAUCAUAUCCUAAUCCUUCAAAAGUCAUGUAUGGAAAUUAUUUUUUGCAAGG
Non-coding RNA from Paramuricea clavata, 1064 nucleotides. The record is from the annotation of a GenBank genome assembly. NCBI's taxonomy places the organism in Eukaryota, Metazoa, Cnidaria, Anthozoa, Malacalcyonacea, Plexauridae.